This 517-nucleotide ribosomal RNA is filed under the name uncultured bacterium. Its description in RNAcentral is "bacterial SSU rRNA". It matches the Rfam family "Bacterial small subunit ribosomal RNA", at positions 29 to 517 of the family's 1533-position model. The record is from RNAcentral.
AACGAACGCUGGCGGCGUGGAUAAGACAUGCAAGUCGAACGAUCACUAUUGGGUAGCAAUAUUUGGUAGUGGGAGUGGCGCAAGGGUGCGUAACACGUGGGUAAUUUGCCGUAAAGUCUGGGAUAACUUGCUGAAAGGCGAGCUAAUACCGGAUGUGAUUGCUGGGGGGCAUCCUCUGGCACUUAAAGUCGGGGACCGUAAGGCCUGACACUUUUCGAUAAGCCCGCGGCCUAUCAGCUAGUUGGUGAGGUAACGGCUCACCAAGGCUAAGACGGGUAGCUGGUCUGAGAGGACGACCAGCCACACUGGAACUGAGACACGGUCCAGACACCUACGGGUGGCAGCAGUCGAGAAUUUUUCUCAAUGGGGGAAACCCUGAAGGAGCGACGCCGCGUGGGGGAUGAAUGGCUUCGGCCCGUAAACCCCUGUCAUUCGCGAAUAAUUGUUACAGUUGAACAGGCUGUGACUUGAUAGUAGCGGAAGAGGAAGGGACGGGCUAACUCUGUGCCAGCAGCCG